GCUCCUGUCGUCUAGUCCGGUCAAGGAUGCGAGCUUCUCGAGCUUGUGACCCGGGUUCAAAUCCCGGCGGGAGCA
RNAcentral lists this transfer RNA (75 nucleotides) under Candidatus Aenigmatarchaeota archaeon. RNAcentral's name for it is "tRNA-Glu". It matches the Rfam family "tRNA". From Rfam's summary of the family: Transfer RNA (tRNA) molecules are approximately 80 nucleotides in length. The record is from RNAcentral. Lineage: Archaea; Nanobdellati; Candidatus Aenigmatarchaeota.